RNAcentral lists this unclassified non-coding RNA (4263 nucleotides) under Limulus polyphemus (Atlantic horseshoe crab). Its description in RNAcentral is "homeobox protein six1-like, transcript variant X1". The record is from RNAcentral. Lineage: Eukaryota; Metazoa; Arthropoda; Merostomata; Xiphosura; Limulidae.
CGAUGAGAGCCAAUCACGAGCGUGAAAACGGUCAUUACCGGCGCCUAGAACAUGAUAAUGUCAAGAUGAAUCACCUAGAGAGUGGCGUGUUUUCAAGAGUUCGUGUUGCCUGUAAAUAUAGGUUUGGAACAGAAGACGGUGGGUGCCUUGAGAUCUCUAGUCGGGCAUACUUGAAUUUGCUCAGCUGACGAAACGCACGCGCCAGAUUGAAGAAUCCUUGAGUACUAGUGGUUGUAGAAUAGUUUAGACAACUUCAUCUUGCGAAGACUUGACUAUCCAAGAUUUCCGGUGACCAACUAAUAGUAAAUUAAAUAGUUUCGUUUUACACCAACCAAAAUUUCACCAUUCAGGAGUAAGCCCAUGAAGCAAUCAUAACUCAUGAUUGUAGGCCACAUGAACGACAGUGUGGCGGGUCCCCACCUCUCUGUAGUUUCGAACAUGCUGUCUCAGAGUUCAUGCCCCAGCGUCAACCCUUCAUCCCCCAGUCCCAUGCUCCCAUCGUUUGGAUUCACACAAGAGCAGGUAGCUUGUGUCUGUGAAGUGCUUCAACAGUCCGGUAACAUCGAAAGGCUCGGCCGGUUCCUUUGGUCACUACCGGCCUGCGAACAUCUUCAGAAGAAUGAGAGUGUGCUGAAGGCUAAAGCUCUGGUAGCCUUUCAUCGAGGCAACUUCAAGGAACUGUAUCGAAUUCUGGAGAGUCACAACUUCUCGCCAGCGUCCCACUCGAAACUCCAAGGGCUUUGGCUCCAAGCCCAUUACACCGAAGCCGAGAGGAUCCGCGGCCGGCCACUGGGAGCGGUCGGCAAGUACCGGAUCCGCCGAAAGUUCCCGUUACCUCGAACGAUCUGGGACGGGGAAGAGACUAGUUAUUGCUUCAAAGAGAAGUCACGCAACAUACUUCGAGACUGGUACUCGCAUAAUCCCUACCCCUCGCCACGUGAGAAGCGUGAGCUAGCCGAGGCCACUGGACUGACGACCACUCAAGUCAGCAACUGGUUCAAAAACAGAAGGCAAAGGGACAGAGCGGCAGAAACAAAGGACAGGGACGUUGGUGAGAAGGGGAAGAAUUCCGAUUCGACCAAAGGCACGGGAGCAGAAAGUUCCGAAAAAGACGACCACCAAACGGGAACAGACCAUCGGCAGAACUCCGACUCCGAGCCAGCUAGUAGUUCCGAUGGCAUCUUCCCCACAGAGCUCAAAUCAGCAAGCAUGAAUGUUGCGGCUCCUAGUCCGAUAUUACACCAUCACCCCGUCGCCACAAUCUCGCCAGCUUCGUCGGUUGGAAUCCCUCAAACCGUCGCCCUAGGUGGCGCUUUCCGUCUAAACCACCCGCCGGAGUUUUCGACAACGAUGCACGGAACGCUGUUACACCCGCAGCUUGGAGAUUUCGGGUUAGGCUUACCAACGGAUUAUCAUGCUUUAUGACGGUCAGUGGCGGGGACUGUCCGAUUGUAAAGCCAAGGUGUCCGGCCAGGACCCGCCGCCACCCAGUACUGUAAGCUCCUCUGUGCUUUUUCAUUCCCUCAUUAGAAUCCGCAGUGUGGGCUGAUGCUUUGUACUUUUCGAUUAUUUAUGAAAUAGACAACGUGUCGCUAGCAGCCGCCAUGUUUGUACAUGUAAUGUAAAGUUCUGAUAUACUUGUGGUAACGCUUUUUACAUAUACUUGUAAGAAAACAAAGUCAUUUCACAACACGUUUCUGAAGAUAUCGACAGUGAAUAAAUAAUGGGAUUUAUGCCUUCACACAUCUUACAUAUGCACAUGUUCGGUAUUUAGAAGUUUUAAAAAGUAUAUCGAUCACCGUAAUAGCUAAUCUGCUUAAAUUAAACUAUGAACUUAUACGUCUAAAUAAGUUUCUUAAAAGUAAAUGGGUAGAAAAAACUUACCUGUACAACAUUACAUAAUUUACAUACUGAUUUCUUCCUGAUUUUAGUAGACUAAUUAGCAGAAAAAAAAUCAUUCAGAUUUCUGUUUCAUUGUUAAAAAAAAAACAACGCGACAGCUGCAUGUAAAAAAGAAAAGGCUUUAAUACUAUGGUUUACACAAAGUACCAGAAUUUCUUUUUUCUCUGUAUCAUACCAAAGAGAGAGAAAAAAAUUAAAUGAAAAUAAGGUAACUUUUAUAUUUUAUGGAAUAUUUAGUAAAAUUUGUUAAUGUAUAAUGAUUAGAAGAAAAAAGUCUCAUAUAAUCAUGAUGACCAAAAAUAAAUAGUGUCUACUAAAUACAUUAACUAGCUCUAAACUUAUUGUGAAGAAGAAAUAAUUAAUCAUAACAAGAAAAAUUUGGUAUUAAAACUUAAGUUAGUGUUCGGUUCUUUAAAUUUUAUAUUUUUUUUGUUGAAAUUGAAAUUACUUAGCAGUUAUCGUCAAACAAGAGGGAGUGUAGAGCAGGAAGUAAGAACUUUGUUGGUUUAUACAUUAUUACCAUCAAUAAUCAAUCAAAAGAAAACAAUAGAGUCACAUUUAAUGAUUUUUUUGUUCUUUUUAACACUACGUGAUAUAGAUGAACAAUGUUGUACGUAAUUAUUCAUGGAAACCUCCUGAGUAAAAUCUGUGUCUGGAAACUAACUGAAAUCGUCAGGACAACUUGGUAUGUCUUUUGUUUUUUUCCUUAACUACAGGUUACUGAGACUAAUAGUCUGGAAAUAUAAUAAAUUAUCUCUCCUUGCGACUAAUAUAUUAGUGCCCGAUAAGGAGAGUAUAUUCUGAUAUUUUGUAUAGUGUCAACAAUUAUGGUCUUCUCAACUCUGAACUUUAUCUUCCUAUCCCUAUACCUCCUAUUGUUAGGCCUUAUUUAGCCAUAUACAUAUGUUUUUAUAAUGAACUAUUUAAAAUUCAGAAAUAAAAACAGUCACAAUGUAGCUUAAACCGAAAUGACACAAACUAGAUUUUAUCUUCAGGCUACGUAUACUUAUUUUUUUAUCUUUAGAAUAAUCACAAAUACACAUAAAUUAUACGUGUUAUCCAGCUUUACUUUCAAGGUUGUUUCAUUUCCCUUCUGUCGAAAUUUACUUCAAUAUUUGUUAUUUUUCGCAAACAUUUAGAGAAUGUUAAAAAUACCAGAUACUGUCAUCAUGGUUUUAUGUAGUCUAAGCAGAAAAUAUUUUAUACCUCCAUAAAUCUAAUAAUAAAUUAAUUUUUAAUAUGGCAUGGUUCUGCUAAUAAUUUAUCCAAAAUAUAAAAAAGGAUAAAAAGAUCAAUAAAAUAUGUAAAUGAAAACGGAACAAUUAUAAAAUAAAUAAAUAAGUAUGUUUUUUAGCAUUAUGUCUUCAGGAAAUUUAGCUUAUACCAUGAAUAAUCCAGGAUAAGCCUCUCGAAUAGUUUCAUAAUUUUCACGUAAUUUACAAUCUAUUUUUAAAAAAUCUGUUUCUCAUAAUUAUUUCUAUAUCAGGUAUGAUUUUACUUGGCUUUAGGAUGAAAUUAUUCCUAUAUCAGGUAUGAUUUUACUUGGUUUUAGGAUGAAAUUAUUCCUAUAUCAGGUAUGAUUUUACUUGGCUUUAGGAUGAAAUUAUUUUAAUCGUAAUAAUGUAGCUUCCAAUGUUGAUCUUUUUUACACGAAACGAAUAUAAUCUACUUUUUAAUCGACGUUUUAGCUGUAUAAUAAUAUUAUAUAAGUAUUAAAAAUGUAUUCUACAUAAUCGAUUCUUUAAACUCCAGAUUAAUGUGUACAUUUUUCUAACAUCAUUCCUCAGUUAAGUACAGCACAUGUGAAAGUUCAGUUAUUCCUUAAUAGGUAAAGAUUUUUAAGUAUUGAAUUAAUGCUUCUUGCAUUACUGAUGAUAUUCAACCAAACCGUUUCUUCAUUAAAGAUAACGCUUUAGUCGUGUUUCGUCAUGCAAACUCUGCCAAAUAUUUGUCUCUGUUUGUAUGGGUGUGAAUAGUGAUGCUCAUAUAUUACCUGGUGUGCAUAUUAUAUGUAAUUCAGCACAAAGUGUUAUGUAAAUAAACUUAAAAAUUUCUUGAAACUUACUCAGUUUAGAUUUAUUCAUUGAUUUGUCCUCUUGAAUUUAAUUUUCAUUUAAGAAAUUCUUCCAUUUCUUUAACUUUUUUUUUAAUAGAAAGCGUUAACUAUUGCAUUUGUAUAAUCUUGAAGCCUUAAACAAUCAGUCAGGAAAUACUUCAAAAUCAGAUUAAAACAAUAAACUAAAAUAUUUUCAUAUACCAUCUCUACCUGACACCACGUUAGGCUUAGCAAAAAUAUUGCUAGGCUUAACAACACAUCUUUCACUCGUUUAUGUUUCUUACUCGCAAUUACUUUUAACAGUU